CGCGCAGGCGGCUUGGCCAGUCUGGUGUGAAAGCGCUACCGCUCAACGGAGCGAGUGCACUGGAUACUGCCAAACUUGAGUGCAGAAGAGGUAAGCGGAAUACCUGGUGUAGCGGUGGAAUGCUUAGAGAUCAGGUAGAACAUCUGUGGCGAAGGCGGCUUACUGGUCUGCAACUGACGCUGAGGCGCGAAAGCGUGGGGAGCGAACG
This 208-nucleotide ribosomal RNA is filed under the name uncultured bacterium. Its description in RNAcentral is "partial 16S ribosomal RNA". It matches the Rfam family "Bacterial small subunit ribosomal RNA", at positions 568 to 774 of the family's 1533-position model. The record is from RNAcentral.